GACGAACGCUGGCGACGUGCCUAACACAUGCAAGUCGAACGGAACUGUUUUGAAAGAUUUCUUCGGAAUGAAUUUGAUUUAGUUUAGUGGCGGACGGGUGAGUAACGCGUGAGUAACCUGCCUUCAAGAGGGGGAUAACAUUCUGAAAAGAAUGCUAAUACCGCAUGACAUAUCGGAACCACAUGGUUUUGAUAUCAAAGAUUUUAUCGCUUGAAGAUGGACUCGCGUCCGAUUAGUUAGUUGGUGAGGUAACGGCUCACCAAGACCGCGAUCGGUAGCCGGACUGAGAGGUUGAACGGCCACAUUGGGACUGAGACACGGCCCAGACUCCUACGGGAGGCAGCAGUGGGGGAUAUUGCGCAAUGGGGGCAACCCUGACGCAGCAACGCCGCGUGAAGGAUGAAGGUUUUCGGAUUGUAAACUUCUUUUAUUAAGGACGAAAAAUGACG
Molecule: ribosomal RNA, 449 nt
Filed under: uncultured bacterium
Lineage: Bacteria
Description: bacterial SSU rRNA
Rfam family: Bacterial small subunit ribosomal RNA
Source: RNAcentral